UAAACGGUCCUUUUAAGGGCCACAAUAAAAAGAUAAAAUAAAAUUU
This is a non-coding RNA of Beta vulgaris subsp. vulgaris (sugar beet), 46 nucleotides long. The record is from Rfam. Lineage: Eukaryota; Viridiplantae; Streptophyta; Magnoliopsida; Caryophyllales; Amaranthaceae.